GAUGAACGCUAGCGGCAAGCUUAAUACAUGCAAGUCGAGGGGCAGCAUGACUGUAGCAAUACAGUUGAUGGCGACCGGCAAACGGGUGCGGAACACGUACAGAACCUUCCUUCGAGCGGGGAAUAGCCCAGAGAAAUUUGGAUUAAUACCCCAUAGUAUAUUGGAGUGGCAUCACUUUGAUAUUAAAGAUUUAUCACUUGAAGAUGGCUGUGCGGCUGAUUAGAUAGUUGGCGGGGUAACGGCCCACCAAGUCUGCGAUCAGUAACUGGUGUGAGAGCACGACCAGUCACACGGGCACUGAGACACGGGCCCGACUCCUACGGGAGACAGCAGUAAGGAAUAUUGGUCAAUGGACGAAAGUCUGAACCAGCUAUGCCGCGUGGAGGAUGAAGGCCCUCUGGGUUGUAAACUUCUUUUAUAUGGGACGAAAAAGGGACCUUUCUAGGUCAACUGACGGUACCAUGUGAAUAAGCACCGGCUAACUCCGUG
RNAcentral lists this ribosomal RNA (489 nucleotides) under uncultured bacterium. Its description in RNAcentral is "bacterial SSU rRNA". It matches the Rfam family "Bacterial small subunit ribosomal RNA", at positions 28 to 507 of the family's 1533-position model. The record is from RNAcentral.